UUCGCCUGGUAAAAUAAGACAUUCUUUACUUUACUUUUACUUUUAAAACUGUUUAUUUUAUUUUCUGUACUGAAACAUGUGUUGUUUUACAGGAAAUGUAUGAAUUUCUACCUCGGCAAAGAAAACUUAAACAUAUUUUACAAGCAAGAAAUAUGAAUGAAAUAAAUGUUAUUCAUGAGGAACUUGUACCUGAAAUAUUGAAGACAUCAUCUGAUUUAGAAAACAGUAGACUGGUGGAAUCCAACUAUCAACAGAUACCUAGUAUGAUAGACUCAGUAAAUGUAAUAUCACAACAAGAAAGGUAUGAAAUUGCAUUAUCAAAAACUCAAAGGCUGGCAAACCUACUAUCAGAGGCACCAUCAGAAACUUUCUUUCAGCGUCUAGUGAACUUGGAAACAUUAAUAUACAAUUGGGAGAAUAAUGAAGAAGUGAGUGUUAUUUCACUUAACUCAAAGAAUAAUUGUUCCCAAGAUUUCAUUGAAAUAGAUAAUAAUUAUGUUUUAAUUACAGUAAACGAAUCUGUUGUAUCUGAAUUACAACCUUUUUUUCAAACAAAAUUGAGUUCAGGUUCAGUAGAAAACUACAAAGAAGUGCCAACCUUGCUAGAAGACCAUAAUUAUUUUCAGUUAACCAGUAAAUAAGAAACCAAAAUAAAAAUUUUACAAGAAUCAAAAGCGGUGCAAAAUAUAUUUGAAACAGUGACUAUGAUACAAAUAUUGAAUACGUCUAUAUUCACUAAAAAGCAAAGACGAUAAAGAUAAAACCGUUUUAAAUUUCUUUAGUUAAUAAAUAAUUUUAUGUGCAGUGUUGGAUGAUAAAACAGUAUACCCAGAUGAAUUCAGACAUAAUCUCAAAUGCUGCCUGCCUUUAUACUCAUAAAAACAGAGUAUAUGUAGAAUGAAUCAAGAUUAAUUGUAUUGAGUAUGAAUAGACUUCUGUUCAAGACAGUAAUCCGACAAUUUUCUGCUAUAAUGUUAAAUGGAAGCUAACAUCAGUCAUAGUAUUUUAAUAGUCUUCAGUUCGCUGUCCAUUUUUCAUUUAAAUUCAUUUCAAAUUUUUCUGACUGCACAAAUGUGAAAGAAUAUUUUGUUCUGCAGAUCAAUGAGAUUAAAUUGACUUCAGCCAUCACGCCAAUGCCUAUGUACAUGCUUUAUCUAUGCAUUCCAAAACUGGUAGUUAUCAAGCAUGGUCCAGAGAUGAACUAUGCUGUAUCUUGAAUAAGAAAGACCAAUGAAUUGAAUGAAGACCAGUUUAAAGUUAUACUUAUCAGUUAUAGCAUUGUGGUUUUUUAAAAUCCAGACCUAAAUUAUAACUUUUAAUGGUUUAUGUGAAGGAAUAAUGUUUUGAAAUAUUAAAAUUUGGCUUUAAUGUGUA
This is an RNA transcript of Homalodisca vitripennis (glassy-winged sharpshooter), 1374 nucleotides long. RefSeq lists it as uncharacterized. The transcript is spliced from 2 exons. NCBI's taxonomy places the organism in Eukaryota, Metazoa, Arthropoda, Insecta, Hemiptera, Cicadellidae. The record is from RefSeq and is a predicted model, not a curated record.